Molecule: ribosomal RNA, 253 nt
Filed under: uncultured bacterium
Lineage: Bacteria
Description: partial 16S ribosomal RNA
Rfam family: Bacterial small subunit ribosomal RNA
Source: RNAcentral
UACGUAGGCAGCAAGCGUUGUUCGGAGUUACUGGGCGUAAAGAGUGCGUAGGCGGUCCUGUAAGUUUGGUGUGAAAUCUCCCGGCUCAACUGGGAGGGUGCGCCGAAGACUGCAGGGCUUGAGUAUGGGAGAGGUAAGCGGAAUUCCAGGUGUAGCGGUGAAAUGCGUAGAUAUCUGGAGGAACACCGGUGGCGAAGGCGGCGUUCUGGACUGCAACUGACACUGAGGAACGAAAGCCAGGGGAGCAAACGGG